This 149-nucleotide small RNA is filed under the name Klebsiella pneumoniae. RNAcentral's name for it is "RtT sRNA". It matches the Rfam family "RtT RNA". From Rfam's summary of the family: This family represents a bacterial cis-regulatory element known as RtT RNA. The exact function of RtT is unknown although it is thought that it may be involved in changing the cellular response in relation to amino acid starvation. The record is from RNAcentral. Lineage: Bacteria; Pseudomonadati; Pseudomonadota; Gammaproteobacteria; Enterobacterales; Enterobacteriaceae.
UAUUCUGCCCCAUGGGGAAGGAUGAGAAGCUUCGACUAAGGUUCGACUCGAGCGAAGCGAGAGAACGUUGCCGCAGGCAACGGCCCGAAGGGCGAGGCGCUUUAGCGCCGAGUGCGCUUUAGCGCCGAGUAAUCCUUCCCCCACCACCA